UUUUAUUAUCGUUAUUACUAUCAUUAUUACUGUUAUUUUUAUUUGCAGGUUUUGAGGGAACACAAUAUGGAAACUCUGUGGGUUUUCAUCAUAGUCGCACUCAGUAUAUCUUUGGAUGAAUGUCUUAACCCGAAAAUGGAUAUCGCCCUUGUCGGUGAUAUAUCAAAGCGCAUGGAAAAGAGCCACCAUAAUAAGUUGGUCGACCUGGUGAAGUCGUUGGUGAAUAAGCUGGGCGUCUCUGCUGAAGGAAAUCAUUAUGCAAUUGUCACUUUUGGAGGAUGGGCCUCUAUCAAGACUUACUUUAAUGACAAAAAAAAUGCUACAAUGCCAAAACCUUAAAGGAAACCGUCAGCAAGGAUUUCAAACGUGUUCCAGGCAAAGCGGGAACACCGUGACAGAUCUUGUACUGCGAGCGGCCUCAAAGAAAUCGUUCAUCCCACCGGGAGGAGACAGGCUUGAUGCUCAAAACCUUAUGCUGAUCUUCACUGACGGACAGCCCUGGAUUGGCAAGUGGGAUGACAGAAAGAUGGUUCCUUUUAGGGAAACCACAAAAGCUUUGGAGCUGUUGACGGAGGAUACACUGAAUGGUCUGAGUCGAAGUGCAGUGUGAAGUGUGCAGUGUGAAGUGUGCAGUGUGAAGUGUGCAGUGUGAAGUGUGCAGUGU
Stylophora pistillata is the source of this 664-nucleotide RNA transcript. RefSeq lists it as uncharacterized. The record is from RefSeq and is a predicted model, not a curated record. NCBI's taxonomy places the organism in Eukaryota, Metazoa, Cnidaria, Anthozoa, Scleractinia, Pocilloporidae.